GAAUGCAAGGAGUGUUGCAACUUCCUAGAAUGGCGGACUGGUGAGUAACACGUGGGUGACAUACCCUUAGGACGGGGAUAGUUCUAGAAAUAGAAGAUAAUACCGGAUACGACCACUACUGUUAGAGGGUAGUGAGGAAAGGGGCUACGGCCCCGCCUGAGGAAUGGCCCGCGGCCCAUUAGCUUGUUGGUGAGGUAACGGCCCACCAAGCCGAUGAUGGGUAUCCGGCCUAAGAGGGUGAACGGACACAUUGGGACUGAGAUACGGCCCAGACUCCUACGGGAGGCAGCAGCUAAGAAUAUUCCGCAAUGGACGAAAGUCUGACGGAGCGACGCCGCGUGGAUGAUGAAGGCCGUGAGGUUGUAAAGUCCUUUUGAACCUGACGAAUAAGCGCGGGAGGGAAUGCCCGUGCGGUGACGGUAGGGUUUGAAUAAG
This 435-nucleotide ribosomal RNA is filed under the name uncultured Treponema clone RFS98p. RNAcentral describes it as "bacterial SSU rRNA". It matches the Rfam family "Bacterial small subunit ribosomal RNA", at positions 64 to 490 of the family's 1533-position model. Lineage: Bacteria; Pseudomonadati; Spirochaetota; Spirochaetia; Treponematales; Treponemataceae. The record is from RNAcentral.